Molecule: ribosomal RNA, 417 nt
Filed under: uncultured beta proteobacterium
Lineage: Bacteria; Pseudomonadati; Pseudomonadota; Betaproteobacteria
Description: bacterial SSU rRNA
Rfam family: Bacterial small subunit ribosomal RNA
Source: RNAcentral
GAGUUUGAUCUUGGCUCAGAUUGAACGCUGGCGGCAUGCCUUACACAUGCAAGUCGAACGGCAGCACGGGGGCAACCCUGGUGGCGAGUGGCGAACGGGUGAGUAAUACAUCGGAACGUGCCCAGUAGUGGGGGAUAGCCCGGCGAAAGCCGGAUUAAUACCGCAUACGACCUGAGGGUGAAAGCAGGGGAGUCGCAAGACCUUGCGCUAUUGGAGCGGCCGAUGUCGGAUUAGCUAGUUGGUGGGGUAAAGGCCUACCAAGGCUACGAUCCGUAGCUGGUCUGAGAGGACGACCAGCCACACUGGGACUGAGACACGGCCCAGACUCCUACGGGAGGCAGCAGUGGGGAAUUUUGGACAAUGGGCGAAAGCCUGAUCCAGCCAUGCCGCGUGCGGGAAGAAGGCCUUCGGUUGUAA